GCCACAGCCAUAUUACCCUGCAGCCCAAGACUGGUUGCCCACUGAAGCUAAGCAGGGUUGAGCUGGUCAGUACCUGGAUGGGAGACCUCCUGGGAAAACUAGGUUGCUGCUGGAA
Molecule: ribosomal RNA, 115 nt
Filed under: Sinocyclocheilus grahami
Lineage: Eukaryota; Metazoa; Chordata; Actinopteri; Cypriniformes; Cyprinidae
Source: RNAcentral